CCGGUGCCAAAAAGGUUGAGGGCCGCUGUCUAUAAAAUGGGGCUUCAGUCUACCAUGCAAGAAUGUUGCGAGACAGGAGAUGCGCUAUGUGAAGGGUCUGGUCCUGCCUUCUGCUCAACCUCUCUGUGCCCAGAAAGUAGAGCGAGGACCCAGGGAUAAGCAAGGACUCCGUGUGGGAAGCCCCCUGGAGCAGAGGGAUGUGAGCAGCUGUGCCAGGGAGUGUGGGCAGAGGGGUUCUGAGCAGAGAGGCUGGCCCCAUAGGGAAAUGGAAACAAAGGAGCUCAUCUGAGCCUACAGCCAGGGGCUGCCCAUCCCAAGGUUGAUGUCACAGUGGGAGGGUAGUGUGGAUACUCCCAACACCCUGGGCCUGCCUGUGCAGGUCCCAUCUCCUGGGGAAGGCCCUGCCUGCUGGCCUCUGCACCCACGCCAGCCCACUCACCUGCCUGUUCUCCCAUGGGGAAGAAACAUCAGCGUAGGGAGGAACUGUGGGUCCCCAGGACCCAGCUGGCUCAAGUGAGGUCCCACCAGCCCCUGCUGGCUGCCGCUCACCUGUCCUUUGUUGUCACCCCCAUCAAUUCCUACCAUUUGCUCAGACCCAGCAGUGGGCUCCAUAGAAUCACAGGCGUGCCAGAUACGCCGCAAUAAAAAGGGCCAUGUGGUCAAAUGUCUGGAAACUCCGUGAACUCUAUGGCCCAGCUGCAGUGCAUGGGAGUGUAUUAAAGGCUCUGACAAUC
Molecule: non-coding RNA, 734 nt
Organism: Macaca mulatta (Rhesus monkey)
Lineage: Eukaryota; Metazoa; Chordata; Mammalia; Primates; Cercopithecidae
Source: RefSeq, a predicted model, not a curated record